RNAcentral lists this ribosomal RNA (975 nucleotides) under Escherichia coli. Its description in RNAcentral is "partial 23S ribosomal RNA". It matches the Rfam family "Bacterial large subunit ribosomal RNA", at positions 1947 to 2916 of the family's 2925-position model. Lineage: Bacteria; Pseudomonadati; Pseudomonadota; Gammaproteobacteria; Enterobacterales; Enterobacteriaceae. The record is from RNAcentral.
GGUCCUAAGGUAGCGAAAUUCCUUGUCGGGUAAGUUCCGACCUGCACGAAUGGCGUAAUGAUGGCCAGGCUGUCUCCACCCGAGACUCAGUGAAAUUGAACUCGCUGUGAAGAUGCAGUGUACCCGCGGCAAGACGGAAAGACCCCGUGAACCUUUACUAUAGCUUGACACUGAACAUUGAGCCUUGAUGUGUAGGAUAGGUGGGAGGCUUUGAAGUGUGGACGCCAGUCUGCAUGGAGCCGACCUUGAAAUACCACCCUUUAAUGUUUGAUGUUCUAACGUUGACCCGUAAUCCGGGUUGCGGACAGUGUCUGGUGGGUAGUUUGACUGGGGCGGUCUCCUCCUAAAGAGUAACGGAGGAGCACGAAGGUUGGCUAAUCCUGGUCGGACAUCAGGAGGUUAGUGCAAUGGCAUAAGCCAGCUUGACUGCGAGCGUGACGGCGCGAGCAGGUGCGAAAGCAGGUCAUAGUGAUCCGGUGGUUCUGAAUGGAAGGGCCAUCGCUCAACGGAUAAAAGGUACUCCGGGGAUAACAGGCUGAUACCGCCCAAGAGUUCAUAUCGACGGCGGUGUUUGGCACCUCGAUGUCGGCUCAUCACAUCCUGGGGCUGAAGUAGGUCCCAAGGGUAUGGCUGUUCGCCAUUUAAAGUGGUACGCGAGCUGGGUUUAGAACGUCGUGAGACAGUUCGGUCCCUAUCUGCCGUGGGCGCUGGAGAACUGAGGGGGGCUGCUCCUAGUACGAGAGGACCGGAGUGGACGCAUCACUGGUGUUCGGGUUGUCAUGCCAAUGGCACUGCCCGGUAGCUAAAUGCGGAAGAGAUAAGUGCUGAAAGCAUCUAAGCACGAAACUUGCCCCGAGAUGAGUUCUCCCUGACUCCUUGAGAGUCCUGAAGGAACGUUGAAGACGACGACGUUGAUAGGCCGGGUGUGUAAGCGCAGCGAUGCGUUGAGCUAACCGGUACUAAUGAACCGUGAGG